RNAcentral lists this ribosomal RNA (121 nucleotides) under Pteropus alecto (black flying fox). RNAcentral also lists the same sequence under 1 other name. The record is from RNAcentral. Lineage: Eukaryota; Metazoa; Chordata; Mammalia; Chiroptera; Pteropodidae.
GUCUAUGACCAUGCCACCCUGAACAAGCUCGAUCCCAUCUGAUCCUGGAAGCUAAGCAGGAUCGGGCCUGGUUAGUAUUUGCAUGGGAGACCACCUAGGAAGACCAGGUGUGCUGUAGGCA